RNAcentral lists this transfer RNA (58 nucleotides) under Cacopsylla jukyungi. RNAcentral describes it as "tRNA-Gly". The record is from RNAcentral. Lineage: Eukaryota; Metazoa; Arthropoda; Insecta; Hemiptera; Psyllidae.
AUUCUAUUAGUAUAAAAAUUACAAUUAGUUUCCACCUAAAAGAUCCUGUGAUAGAAUA